RNAcentral lists this ribosomal RNA (447 nucleotides) under uncultured bacterium. RNAcentral describes it as "bacterial SSU rRNA". It matches the Rfam family "Bacterial small subunit ribosomal RNA", at positions 328 to 792 of the family's 1533-position model. The record is from RNAcentral.
AUCCCAGACUCCUACGGGAGGCAGCAGUGGGGAAUAUUGCACAAUGGGGGAAACCCUGAUGCAGCGACGCCGCGUGAGUGAAGAAGUAAUUCGUUAUGUAAAGCUCUAUCAGCAGGGAAGAAAAUGACGGUACCUGAGUAAGAAGCCCCGGCUAACUACGUGCCAGCAGCCGCGGUAAUACGGAGGAUCCGAGCGUUAUCCGGAUUUAUUGGGUUUAAAGGGAGCGUAGACGGCACUGCAAGUCCGGAGUGAAAGCCCAAGGCUUAACCAUGGGACUGCUCUGGAAACUGUGGAGCUUGAGUGCGGGAGGGGCAGGCGGAAUUCCUAGUGUAGCGGUGAAAUGCGUAGAUAUUAGGAGGAACACCGGCGGCGAAGGCGGCCUGCUGGACCGUAACUGACGUUGAGGCUCGAAAGCGUGGGGAGCAAACAGGAUUAGAUACCCGAGUA